UAGGGAAUAUUAGUAAUGGGCGAAAGCCUGAACUAGCAACGCCGCGUGUGCGAAGAAGGCCUUCGGGUUGUAAAGCACUUUUUGAGAGGAUGAGGAAGGACGGUACUCUCAGAAUAAGUCUCGGUUAACUACGUGCCAGCAGCCGCGGUAACACGUAGGAGGCGAACGUUAUCCGGAUUUACUGGGCGUAAAGCGCGUGUAGGUGGUUUGGUAAGUAGGGCGUGAAAGCUCCUGGCUCAACUGGGAGAGGCCGUUCUAAACUGCCGAGCUAGAGGAUGGUAGAGGGAGGUGGAAUUCCGGGUGUAGCGGUGGAAUGCGCAGAUAUCCGGAGGAACACCAGUGGCGAAAGCGGCCUCCUGGACCACUCCUGACACUCAGACGCGAAAGCUAGGGUAGCAAACGG
This 403-nucleotide ribosomal RNA is filed under the name uncultured bacterium. Its description in RNAcentral is "bacterial SSU rRNA". It matches the Rfam family "Bacterial small subunit ribosomal RNA", at positions 355 to 775 of the family's 1533-position model. The record is from RNAcentral.